CACGUGGGUAAUCUGCCCUCGGCACCGGAAUAGCCCGGGGAAACUCGGAUUAAUGCCGGAUGGCCCAACAGCUUUUCGGGGCGGUUGGGAAAGGUAGCUUAGGCCUCCGGCCGAGGAGGAGCCCGCGGCGGAUUAGCUUGUUGGUGAGAGUAACGGCCCACCAAGGCGACGAUCCGUAGCUGGUCUGAGAGGACGAUCAGCCACACUGGGACUGAGACACGGCCCAGACUCCUACGGGAGGCAGCAGUGGGGAAUCUUGCGCAAUGGGCGAAAGCCUGACGCAGCGACGCCGCGUGGGGG
RNAcentral lists this ribosomal RNA (300 nucleotides) under uncultured Gaiellaceae bacterium. RNAcentral's name for it is "bacterial SSU rRNA". It matches the Rfam family "Bacterial small subunit ribosomal RNA", at positions 114 to 407 of the family's 1533-position model. The record is from RNAcentral. Lineage: Bacteria; Bacillati; Actinomycetota; Thermoleophilia; Gaiellales; Gaiellaceae.